AUACGGAGGAUGCGAGCGUUAUCCGGAUUUAUUGGGUUUAAAGGGAGCGUAGGUGGGAUAUUAAGUCAGCUGUGAAAGUUUGGGGCUCAACCUUAAAAUUGCAGUUGAUACUGGUUUCCUUGAGUACGGUACAGGUGGGCGGAAUUCGUGGUGUAGUGGUGAAAUGCUUAGAUAUCACGAAGAACUCCGAUCGCGAAGGCAGCUCACCGGGCCGGAACUGACACUGAUGCUCGAAAGUGCGGGUAUCAAACAGGAUUAGAUACCCUGGUAGUCCGCACAGUAAACGAUGAAUACUCGCUGUUUGCGAUACACGGUAAGCGGCCAAGCGAAAGCGUUAAGUAUUCCACCUGGGGAGUACGCCGGCAACGGUGAAACUCAAAGGAAUUGACGGGG
RNAcentral lists this ribosomal RNA (393 nucleotides) under uncultured bacterium. Its description in RNAcentral is "partial 16S ribosomal RNA". It matches the Rfam family "Bacterial small subunit ribosomal RNA", at positions 523 to 918 of the family's 1533-position model. The record is from RNAcentral.